GCUGGCAUGGCAGAGGUUGCAGUUGUUGCUGGCAUGGCAGCGGAUGCUGCAGCUGCAAAUGUUGCUGCUGGCUUGG
Molecule: transfer RNA, 76 nt
Filed under: Drosophila mojavensis
Lineage: Eukaryota; Metazoa; Arthropoda; Insecta; Diptera; Drosophilidae
Description: tRNA-Cys
Source: RNAcentral